ACCGGGGGCGACAGCAGUAUGAAGGUCAAGCUGAAGACUUUACCAGACAAGCUGAGAGGAGGUGCAUGGCCGUCGCCAGCUCGUGCCGUGAGGUGUCCUGUUAAGUCAGGUAACGAGCGAGACCCCUGCCUCUAGUUGCUACCAUUAUUCUCAGGAGUAAUGGAGCUAAUUAGAGGGACUGCCGUCGCUGAGACGGAGGAAGGAGGGGGCUACGGCAGGUCAGUAUGCCCCGAAACCCUCGGGCCACACGCGGGCUGCAAUGGUAAGGACAAUGAGUUUCGAUUCCGAAAGGAGGAGGCAAUCUCUAAACCUUACCACAGUUAUGAUUGAGGGCUGAAACUCGCCCUCAUGAAUAUGGAAUCCCUAGUAACCGCGUGUCACUAUCGCGCGGUGAAUACGUCCCUGCUCCUUGCACACACCGCCCGUAAUCACUAGUGAAU
This 440-nucleotide ribosomal RNA is filed under the name uncultured archaeon. Its description in RNAcentral is "bacterial SSU rRNA". It matches the Rfam family "Archaeal small subunit ribosomal RNA", at positions 929 to 1367 of the family's 1478-position model. The record is from RNAcentral.